GCACUAAUCCUCCCAGGGGAACCUGGCCCUUAAUUCGAUGAUCCACGAACCUCUUACCCCUCCUAGUUUUUCUAUCCCAUAGGGAAGAAAAAAUCAGCUUGCAUACCGCCGUUGUUCAGCUUAUACCGUGAGGGCAUAGAAAUAGGCAACGCAGCAGCUUUACGCCGCUUCUAAUUCAGGUAAACGUGUAGCCUAUGGAGGGGGGCUGCUGGGUUACAGUAAAAGCUUAACUGGAGCUUAUGCUAAGACAGACUGCGAAAGAGGACUUGGAAGUAAUAGCUUUAGCUAAAAAAGCUGUGAAUAGAGCUCUAGUGUGUGU
This 319-nucleotide ribosomal RNA is filed under the name Patelloida pygmaea. RNAcentral's name for it is "partial 12S ribosomal RNA". Lineage: Eukaryota; Metazoa; Mollusca; Gastropoda; Lottiidae. The record is from RNAcentral.